GAUGAACGCUGGCGGCGUGCCUAAUACAUGCAAGUCGAGCGAACAGACGAGGAGCUUGCUCCUUCGACGUUAGCGGCGGACGGGUGAGUAACACGUAGGUAACCUACCUAUAAGACUGGGAUAACUUCGGGAAACCGGAGCUAAUACCGGAUAAUAUUUCGAACCGCAUGGUUCGAUAGUGAAAGAUGGCUUUGCUAUCACUUAUAGAUGGACCUGCGCCGUAUUAGCUAGUUGGUAAGGUAACGGCUUACCAAGGCAACGAUACGUAGCCGACCUGAGAGGGUGAUCGGCCACACUGGAACUGAGACACGGUCCAGACUCCUACGGGAGGCAGCAGUAGGGAAUCUUCCGCAAUGGGCGAAAGCCUGACGGAGCAACGCCGCGUGAGUGAUGAAGGUCUUCGGAUCGUAAAGCUCUGUUAUUAGGGAAGAACAAACGUGUAAGUAACUGUGCACGUCUUGACGGUACCUAAUCAGAAAGCCACGGCUAACUACGUG
RNAcentral lists this ribosomal RNA (497 nucleotides) under uncultured bacterium. RNAcentral describes it as "partial 16S ribosomal RNA". It matches the Rfam family "Bacterial small subunit ribosomal RNA", at positions 28 to 507 of the family's 1533-position model. The record is from RNAcentral.